RNAcentral lists this ribosomal RNA (492 nucleotides) under Hydrophis donaldi. RNAcentral describes it as "partial 16S ribosomal RNA". It matches the Rfam family "Bacterial large subunit ribosomal RNA", at positions 1851 to 2607 of the family's 2925-position model. Lineage: Eukaryota; Metazoa; Chordata; Lepidosauria; Squamata; Elapidae. The record is from RNAcentral.
GGCAACGCCUGCCCAGUGAAUAAUUAAACGGCCGCGGUACCCUAACCGUGCAAAGGUAGCGUAAUCAUUUGUCUAUUAAUUGUAGACCCGUAUGAAAGGCAUAAUGAGGGUUUAACUGUCUCUUUUAGUAAAUCAAUUAAACUGAUCCCUUAGUCAAAAAGCUAGGAUACCAACAUAAGACCAGAAGACCCUGUGAAACUUUAACUAAAAUAUUAAAACCUAUAAUAUCUACUUUAGGUUGGGGCGACCUUGGAAAAUAAAAGAACUUCCAUACACAUAUUAUAUAAUAAUAUACCGCCGGCCAACAAGCCUACAACGACCCAGCACAGCUGAUAAUUGAACCAAGCUACUCCAGGGAUAACAGCGCUAUCUUCUUCAAGAGCCCAUAUCAAAAAGAAGGUUUACGACCUCGAUGUUGGAUCAGGACAUCCUAAUGGUGCAACCGCUAUUAAGGGUUCGUUUGUUCAACGAUUAAUAGUCCUACGUGAUCUG